AUGGCACAAACGAGCGUGGAGGCCGACGGGGGUGCGGGAGAGAAUGGAGUCCGGCGAUUGCACCACUCACCCGUGAGUCACCCCAGCAACAGGGCCCAAGCCAGAGAGGAGAUCAGAGUGUCAACGUGUCUGUGUAACGACCCCCGCCCCAGCUCUCCGGCUGUCCAUCAUCCACUCUGAUGACCCGG
Molecule: long non-coding RNA, 188 nt
Filed under: Ornithorhynchus anatinus (platypus)
Lineage: Eukaryota; Metazoa; Chordata; Mammalia; Monotremata; Ornithorhynchidae
Description: lncRNA (ENSOANG00000040916.1)
Source: RNAcentral